GUCCUGGUUUUCCGAAUGGCAGUAUGUAAUGCUAACCACUCGACUACCGUGGCUUUUGGAAUGAGUAUGCAAUAGAAAAGUAAAGUCCUCUGCCCACGAAGGAAGACCAAACUCUACAAGUCUCCCACCGUUACCGUCCACCUAUAUGAUGCGGAGGCAUGGACGAUGACAACAUUUAAUGAGUCGAGAGAAUGGUUUUGGGUAAGAUUUAUGAUCCUCUAUGGUUUCGGAACGGAACAAUACCGCAGUCGAUGGAACGGGGAGCUGUACGAGAUACACGGCGACCUUGACAUAGCUCAGCGCAUCAAGAAACAGCGGCUACGCUGGUUAGGUCAUGCGGUCCGGAUGGAUAAAAAUACUCCAGCUUUGAAAGUUUUCGAUGCAAUAAUCGUCGGGGUAGUGAGGAAGUUGAAGGAUGCCGCUCCGCCGGAAAGAGAUGAUUGCCGAUACUCACCUCAGUUGGCUAUCAACUAAAUCUGUCUAUAUGGAUUUCGAGACUCAGUUGCGUCCAAGUCAAAAAGGUCUUCAUCUUCAAAAGAAGCAAACUUCUCUCCACUGAUUAAGGGCACGUGAUCUCCUCAUCUUAAGAUGAAAUGUACGCCGAAUACUCAAAAGUCAUUUCGUGUAAAUAUUUUAGCAAUUUGAAAUGAAAAUUUGCAUGUGAACUUGUACAAGAAAAUAUCAAAGGAUAACCAGGAAACUUUUAUUAUAUGAGAUAAUUGCUGGCGUCGAUUUCAGAAUUAAAGGAUCAUGGCGUCUGAACGUAAGGAAAAAUUAUAAUGGGAUUAAUUAUUUGGUUGGUAUUUAAAUGUAAUCAUCAGUAGAUUAUUCAUGCACAAAUACGUA
Long non-coding RNA from Ceratitis capitata (Mediterranean fruit fly), 846 nucleotides. RefSeq lists it as uncharacterized. The transcript is spliced from 3 exons. NCBI's taxonomy places the organism in Eukaryota, Metazoa, Arthropoda, Insecta, Diptera, Tephritidae. The record is from RefSeq and is a predicted model, not a curated record.